RNAcentral lists this ribosomal RNA (185 nucleotides) under uncultured bacterium. Its description in RNAcentral is "partial small subunit ribosomal RNA". It matches the Rfam family "Bacterial small subunit ribosomal RNA", at positions 26 to 218 of the family's 1533-position model. The record is from RNAcentral.
AGCCUGAACGCUGGCGGCGUGGCUAAGACAUGCAAGUCGAACGGGUGUAGCAAUACACCAGUGGCGGACGGGUGAGUAAUGUAUCGCUAACGUGCCCUGGAGCCAGGGAUAGCUGCCCGAAAGGGCAGGUAAUACCUGAUGAAAUAACCUUAUCGCAUGACAAGGUUCUCAAAGCAGCAAUGCAC